This 429-nucleotide long non-coding RNA is filed under the name Pongo abelii (Sumatran orangutan). RNAcentral describes it as "lincRNA". The record is from RNAcentral. Lineage: Eukaryota; Metazoa; Chordata; Mammalia; Primates; Hominidae.
UCUUGACAUGUAGUACGAACAUAAAGCACAGUUGAUUCCUGAGCUGUGAUAACUUUCCACUGACCAUACUACUGCAAUGAUGUUAUUCUGGGCCAAACUUCGGAAUCAAUUCGUGUCUGCUGCCUGAUUCAAUUAUUUAUCAUGCACCCAGUGGAUUUUUACUUGCUAAAGUAGAAAGAAGAUCCCUACAUUUAAUGAGAAAAUAUACAGAAGGGAGGCUGAUCCCAGGUGCACUGUGGCAGGUGGCAGUAUAGAUUUUUAUGAAGCAGCAGUGUGCUGUGAUAAGAGUAGCAGAUGAAGAAGGAAGGAAAUGAAGUCACUCAAUUCUUAUAUGGCAUUAUUACUCUUAUAUUUGGAAUCAACAUGUGGAAUUUCUAGGUGCUUUACUGCAGACAGAGAAUACUCUUCCAAAGUGCCUUAAUUACAUGA